Long non-coding RNA from Lotus japonicus, 3445 nucleotides. RefSeq lists it as uncharacterized. The transcript has 5 exons. NCBI's taxonomy places the organism in Eukaryota, Viridiplantae, Streptophyta, Magnoliopsida, Fabales, Fabaceae. The record is from RefSeq and is a predicted model, not a curated record.
CACUUUAUUAAAUACGGAAUUUAAAGUUCCGUAUCAAUACGGAAAAUAAAAUUCCGUAUCUGUUUUAGUAUAUAAUGAGUGGUUGAAAAUGUGACACGCAUGCUUAAAUACAGUACGGAAUUUUAAGUUCCGUAUUCAAUAGGGAGAAUACGGAAUUUUAAAUUCCGUAUUUGAUAAAGUGGGGUGCCAAGCCCCAUAGGUGGGGUGCCAAACCCAACUCCCCUCCCCUGUCUCUACCAGGCUCUGCAACACGACCACAUCAUCAUCAUGCCUGGUGCUGCAACAACCAAACCCAAAUGAAAAUACAUCAUCACCCUAACAGAUUAGAGAGUUGGGGUGAAGCUUUGAUCUCAGACCUACAAUUUGCGUCAUUGGCACAGCUGUAAUGUCUUUUUUUGUAGCUGAAAGAAAAAUCCCUGCUCCAUCAGAAGCAACCCUCACAAAAUUAGAGCACCGCAAGGGUAUGGGGCUUCAAAGGUCCACAAGUGCCUCAGCAUGAUGCAUCCCUGCCAUAAUAUUAAGUGUUUGAAUUUAAACUUGAUGAUUUGGUGAAUCUUGACUUGAUGGUUUGGCUCCCUAACUUACAUGACUACAAUUUUGUGGUAGCAUGGUCUAUGUGUUGUCUUUUGAUAAGUCACCUUUAGAUUUCUGGGUUUCUUAUAGUCUGUUGACAAAUAUUUAGAAUAGCUACCCGAGUGUAGAACAAUAGUUUGUUUUUAUAACUGAUAUUGAUCAUUUAAUCACGACAUUAUAUAUUUAUAUUCCACUAUUCUCUUUAUUUGAGCAUCAUAAGUCAAGACUUGACAACACAACAAAUGAACCUCUAUUUACAAAUGUCAGUAGAGAUUUUAUGGACACUCUUUACUUUACACAGGUGAGCUAUCUUGCAAUGUUUCAUCGUUCGCUAAAUUUAACUUAACUGUCGUUCCUUUUCUUUUCUUUUUUGUUUCAACUGAUUCGUUGGUUGUGAAGUCAUAUUGGAGUUAUUGGAUGAGGAGAGUUUGAGGAAAGAUACAGCUCUUCAUUCUCUUGAAUGGUCCUCAGAUCAUAUAGCUCUCUUAGCAGAGUUUUGUUGCAAGAGUAUAUUUCGGCCUUGACCCAUUAGUUUUAUUAGGUAUCAGCAUUGCCCCAAUGUCCUUUUUCCAAUAUAUAUCUUCUUAUUCUUAUUUUAUACCUUAUUGGCAUUAGUUUAUUGAAAGUUUGGCUUCGUAUUUAGAAGUUCAUUAUUGAGAUAUGAGAGGUUAGUAACUCUAGGCACAUGCAAAAAAAAGUCAAUUGAUAAUCUGCACAAGGUUAUUAUUGAGAGGUAGGUGUGGAACUAACAUGUUUUGGACUACAAAACAUCUUAUCAAAGGGAGCAUAUAAGCCAUAGUAAAAAGUAAUUGGGAAAAUGUUGCAUGUAACCUACUAUAAAUAUGUUUUUGUUGGGUUGGUUUCCUACUGUCUAAAGUGUGAGUAGUUCUGAUAACUGGGGGUGGUUUUCUUUGUUUUGAAUUUGUUGAAUCAGUUGUGUUGAAUUAUAGAAAUGGUUGAGAUGUCUGGACUUCUUGAUUUAUUAUAGCUGUAAUAACCAAAGUUAUUUGUCUUAAAGAUUAUCUUAUUCUUCUUAGGUCCAAGCGUAUGUUAUUUCACCACAAGAAGAGCUAAGGUUUGCAAGGGUUAGUAAAAAGCUACUUAGAGUAGUUGGAAGAAAAUGGAAGAAGAAGAAGAAGAAUGAUUUACAAACUAUAUGGAGAGUCAGUGCAUUUCACUGAGCAGCCAAAUAGCCAAUACAAGUUUCUCAUUAUUCACUACAACAAAAAUUACAUUUAGCGACAAUCUUGUAGUGACAAAAGUUUCACCGGAAAGUCUCUGUUUCCCUCUUCCUCGCCCUUACUUUCAUACGUUGAGGUUCAGAAGAAGCAGAUGGCGAAGCCAAUUGGAACAGAGCCAAUUCGCAUACUUAGCUCUCCAUUCUCGUUCAGUUGCUUGAUUCGCGUUCUAGGUUCUCGUUCACUCGUGCUCACUCUCUGGAUCUUUGUUUGCUCCAGAUCUUUCAAGAUCUCCAAUGGAACAUGAUGCUUAUGAGAGGAUGCAGCAAGUGAUGGAUUAUGUGAAGAAGGGAGUUCUAAACCACAUGAAGUGAAGCUUAUGGAGCAAGUCUUUUCCUUACUAGGUUUUCCCAAGGGGGUUUUAUCCUAGUAAGGUUUUAACGAGGCUUAUUUUGUUAAGUCUUUUUUCAAAGAGGUAUUAGGUGGGGUAGUCUCGGCAUUAGUAGGAUCUUUGUGUUGCUCUUGUUUUUGCUUUUUCGCUAUCUUUUCUCCUCUCUUUUUGUAUUGGGUUGAAGUACCCCUUGUACUUCUAUUCAAUAUAUUUCUAACUGCUUAUCAAAAAAAAAAAUGGAGCAAGUCUUUUCAAUUUUCAUUGAUGAUUAUUCCUAUUCUUCUGAUUCCCUACCUUCAACUUCUCUCAGAUGGAACCCUUCUUUCUGUGGAUUUCUUGCAAUUGGGGGGGUGCUUUCUAUGCUAGUAUGUUUACCAUUUAGGUUAAAAUUGCUCCUGUAUAUUUAUAGUUGUUUCAUAGUUUCAGUUUCUUGAAUUUUUGUCUCUUGCCAUGAUUAUGUUCUUUUGCAUGUUAUACUUAGACAGUUGGGUCAACUUAGCAAUAAACAAUUCUUGAUUGAUGAAUUUGAAAUUGAAUGUCACCAGCAACUACAAAAGUUAUACACUUCUACAAAGACGACUAAGGUCUAUUAGUGUAAUCAGUCCAUUGCAUUUAUUAUCUGGUGAUUGACAUUUAAUAAGUUGAGAGAGUUUUUUGUUUGCUCAAGUUUAACCAUGGUGAUGUUUAUAGCAUUUUCAGCGGCAUUUUGUUCACGGUAUGGAAGUAUCGUUGCUGUUAGUUCUUAGCAGAUGAAGAUAUGUGACUUUGCUUUUUGACUUUUUCCUAUGCUAUUAAUUUGGUUUGUGCCUCAGGGCUGAUAAUUGAUGUUUUAUGUUUAUGUACUUCAGUAAGAAAGAUGGCUAAGGACUUCUAUAAAUAUGCAACUGAGCAUCAAGACAGUACUUACCCCCUUGCAAAGGCUGUAUGUGCUGGAUUUAAGUAAAGUGUUGAACCUCCAGUUUAUUUAAGUGGAGGUCCUUAAUGAUAAAGGCUAUGAUGAGGCCACUGCAUACUUGUGGUCUUGUAGGGUGAUUCUCUUGUAUUGGUUGCAGAGAAGUGGAGUAAUUUGCAGUGGACACUUAAUGCAGUUCCGUUGGUUAAAGCAUUGCAGCUCAUCCUAUCCUUUCUCUAAUGGGAUGUUUUCAGUAUCAUAUUUAUUGUAAAAUGAUUGUUGUUAAUUCCGUUUCCAUAUGUUAUAAACUUAUAAUGACAUGAUCAUGAUGGAUAUUAAUUGUGAGUAUGACAUCUUCAUGGACUGACAUUAUGAUGCAUACUACCUAUUUAAGAGUUAAACCUUCCGCAA